Molecule: non-coding RNA, 1294 nt
Organism: Chrysemys picta bellii (western painted turtle)
Lineage: Eukaryota; Metazoa; Chordata; Testudines; Emydidae
Source: RefSeq, a predicted model, not a curated record
UCAUUUUCGUUGUCCUCCGCUGGACUCUUCCAAUUUGUCCACAUCCCUUCUGUAGUGGAGGGACCAAAACUGGACGCAAUACUCCAGGUGUGGCCUCAACAGUGCCAAAUAGUGUGGUAUAAUCACUUCCCUCGAUCUGCUGGCAAUGCUCCUAUUAAUGCAGCCCAAUAUGACGUUGGCCUUCUUGGCAACAAAGGCACAUUGUAAACCAGGAACAAAUAACAUAUUCCUGCAAGCCUCUAACAUGGGGUGUGUUUUCCUUUUGCAGCUCACUCACUGGUGUGCUUUACCUGUAAGGAUGCAUCCUCCAACUGGGAGUGUCUGGGAUCAACUAUAUGUCAAAGUGAUGAAAACUACUGUGUGACCACGUAUGUUGGUGCAGGAAUUGGUGGACAUUCCGGGCAGAGCAUCAACAAGGGGUGUGCUUCAGUUUGCCCCAGCGGUGGGAUAAACAUAGGGAUAGCAGCCGCCUCUGUUUCCUGCUGCAGUUCUUUCUUGUGCAACACCAGUGGGGCCACCAGCGUGAAAGUCAGCUACUCGGUGCUGGCCAUGGCGAUCUUGGCCAGCUUUGUCUAUAUCAAGGCUGGACUGUGAUCGGGCCAGGAAAAAAACCCAUGAUGCCCUGAAGAACCUGCUCAAGCUUCUCCAACGAGACACCAAACCUCCCUCUGUGCAAAGCUCUACUGGGGUUACCAAUGGUGCCCUUUCUUCCAAACUCUCUCUCAGAUCCCAUUAGACAAUACCUGCCCUCUUCCCGUUCACAAGGAAAUCCCGCUGCUGUCACUGGGUGCCCCUCUGUGCCUCUCAGCAGAUCUGGAUUGCUGCUCCCAUGGUUUUGGGCGUAGCAGACCUGGGAAGCUCAACUGAAGAGUGCAGCCCCUCUGGGGAGAUGUCCGCUUGCACUCUUGACCCAUCAGGAAAUGGUGGAUAAUGUUGGCAGGGUUUCUGCUUUUAUACCUGUAGUCCCAGUUGAUGGGGCUGAUUAAAAAAAGGUCAGGGCUACCAGAAAAUGUUUAUCCCAAACCACCUUCAAAGUGGAAUACAUAAACACCCCUGCCUCUUGUUACCGCAGAGACAUUUCCCAUCCACGUCACGCUAGGGAUCAGCGCCAGACUGACUGCUGGGAAGGCAUGAUCCAAAACCAAACCUCAGAUACAUUCACCCCCGGUUGGAUUCUGUUUUUUACAUUGUUUUCUUUAUUCUGCUCCUUGUCUCACUUUUCUUAUGUAAAAUGAAUGCAGUGCUCGCACUGUGAGCAUCACAGCUGAAUAAACACCUUCCUGUUCUUGCCUGA